Long non-coding RNA from Homo sapiens (human), 1155 nucleotides. Ensembl annotates it as SOX9 antisense RNA 1. Its record names the gene SOX9-AS1. NCBI's taxonomy places the organism in Eukaryota, Metazoa, Chordata, Mammalia, Primates, Hominidae. The record is from Ensembl.
GGGGGUGCUGCGGGGAAGGCGGGGGACCCGGGACUUCCAAGUGUUCUGGCCAUGGAGGCAUGGUAUCCGUAACAUCCCCCAAAGGAGCUAAAGAAGAAAUCCACAAUUUACCAUGAGCAUUUCUCGUCUGAAGAUUGCCAAGCGAUUCCUCCAGGACAUUCCUCAAGAUCAAUUUCUGUUCAUCCACCUUGUCCUGGGAGGGACAUCAAUGGGUUUCCAUGUCCUUUGGCUUCUGGUUGAGUUCACUCAGUGGAGAACCCUGGCAAGAGGCAGGAAAAGGGGAGGAAGGCUUUAUGAUACAUGUGUUGAAUGUGCAGUUUGCUGAGAAUGAUGGUUUCCAGCUUCAUCCAUGUCCCUACAAAGGACAUGAACUCAUCCUUUUUAUGGCUGCAUAGUAUUCCAUGCCUGACCGGUUUGAAUUUCACCUUCUGUUCACCUUGGAUGAGAGCAGUAAUCAUCACGAUCCCAGGGAACAGCCAAAGGAAGAGAAAAGGCAAAAGAUUUGGACAAGACUCAUGAAGACUAACAGCUCUUGGAUAAUUGAGAGAAGGCAGCUGCGUGAACAGUUUUGAUGCAAUCAUGAAGGCAGGGCCCAGUGCCUGUGGCAUCUGCCUUUUUCUGGAACCAAUCCAUAUUUCCUUGUGGUUUUCUAAGGUGCAGAGAGGGCACAUUGGGAACUUUGCUUGGGGUCUUUUUCACAUCUUAGAGGGAAGGUCCCUCAACAUCUGCAUUGGCGGAGUGUGAUCCUCAUGUCCCUCUGAAUGAUCUGGACUUGAGGUAACCAGCCCCUUCCAGGAAGCUGUCCCAUGAGUGAAGCCUCAGCAGCAGCCUCUGUCAGUCCCUCCCCCACAGAACCUUUGGCUUCCAUUUGACCAGCCUUGACAUCCAGUGUCCAAACACCGAUAAAAUUGAUUCCACUAAGCGUGGGAAAGUCCUGGAGCAUCGAUUGUUUCCUCCUCUGCACCCCCGAUACCCUGGCAUUAGCACUCUCCCAGAAUGUACCUUGCUUGUUUGAUUGGAGGAGGUCAAAGCCCUGAUGAAGAAUGAGUGGAAUUCCACAGGAUUGGAGCAGUCUUGAUAAAUGACAGCAGGGGAUGGUGUGGGGAGGGGAAAGGAUCAGAGGAAGUGUGGAUAAAUGAAUGGCUUAAAAAAUAA